RNAcentral lists this ribosomal RNA (775 nucleotides) under uncultured Neocallimastigales. RNAcentral's name for it is "partial large subunit ribosomal RNA". It matches the Rfam family "Eukaryotic large subunit ribosomal RNA", at positions 22 to 616 of the family's 3401-position model. The record is from RNAcentral. Lineage: Eukaryota; Fungi; Neocallimastigomycota; Neocallimastigomycetes; Neocallimastigales.
GUACACGCUGUGACUAGCAUAUCAAUAAGCGGAGGAAAAGGAAACUAACAAGGAUUCCCUAGUAACGGCGAGUGAAGCGGGAAGAGCUCAAAUUUGAAAUCUUAAAGGUUUUCCCUUGACGAAUUGUAGUUUAAAGAAGUGUUUUCUGUUGAGGUUUUGGUAAAAGUUCUUUGGAAUAGGACAUCAUAGAGGGUGAGAAUCCCGUAUUUGACCUUUACUUUCAACUUUGUGAUAGCACUUUCAAAGAGUCGGAUUGUUUGGGAAUGCAGUCCAAAAUGGGUGGUAAAUUUCAUCUAAAGCUAAAUAUUGGCGAGAGACCGAUAGCGAACAAGUACCGUGAGGGAAAGAUGAAAAGAACUUUGAAAAGAGAGUUAAACAGUACGUGAAAUUGUCAAAAGGGAAGCGUUUGACACCAGUGUUGUCUUUCUGAAAAUCAAUUAAAGAACUGUUUAUGCUAAGUUGUUUAGACUUUAUCAGCUAACUGUUUAGUUUUGAGCUUUUCUUUAAUGCACUUUUCAGUUAACAAGUCAACAUCAAUUUCUUUUGCUGUAAAAAAGCUUGAGGAAGGUGGCUUGAGAUUCGUCUUAAGUGUUUAUAGCCUCUUGCCUAUGCAGUCGGAGAGAUUGAGGUCUGCAGCGUAGAUCCUUCGGGGCUAAAUGCAUUUGUGCUAAGUUAUAGCAUUUUAUAGACAACUUGUUGACUAUAAUUAGUCUUGUAGCUUACUCGCUUAUGCUAUUUUACCUACGCUUAGGAUGUUGAGCGCAUGUCUCUCUCU